CACCAGCCCCUCGAGUGGUGGGGAUGAUUAUUGGCCUAAAGCGUCCGUAGCCGGCCGGGUAAGUUUCCCGUUAAAUCCAGCGUCUCAAGCGUUGGACUGCGGGAAAUACUGCCUGGCUAGAGAGUGGGAGAGGUCAGCGGUAUUCUGGGGGUAGGGGCGAAAUCCUUUGAUCCCCGGAGGACCACCAGUGGCGAAGGCUGCUGACUAGAACACGUCUGACGGUCAGGGACGAAAGCUGGGGUAGCGAACCGGAUUAGAUACCCGGGUAGUCCCAGCCGUAAACGAUGCAUGCUAGGUGUUGGGUUGGCCACGAGCCACCCCAGUGCCGCAGGGAAGCCGUUAAGCAUGCCGCCUGGGAAGUACGAUCGCAAGAUUGAAACUUAAAGGAAUUGGCGGGGGAGCACCACCAGGCGUGAAGCCUGCGGUUU
Molecule: ribosomal RNA, 428 nt
Filed under: uncultured archaeon
Lineage: Archaea
Description: bacterial SSU rRNA
Rfam family: Archaeal small subunit ribosomal RNA
Source: RNAcentral